GAUGAACGCUGGCGGCGUGCUUAACACAUGCAAGUCGAACGGUGAAGCCCAGCUUGCUGGGUGGAUCAGUGGCGAACGGGUGAGUAACACGUGAGCAACCUGCCCCUGACUCUGGGAUAAGCGCUGGAAACGGCGUCUAAUACUGGAUAUGUGACGUGACCGCAUGGUCUGCGUUUGGAAAGAUUUUUCGGUUGGGGAUGGGCUCGCGGCCUAUCAGCUUGUUGGUGAGGUAAUGGCUCACCAAGGCGUCGACGGGUAGCCGGCCUGAGAGGGUGACCGGCCACACUGGGACUGAGACACGGCCCAGACUCCUACGGGAGGCAGCAGUGGGGAAUAUUGCACAAUGGGCGCAAGCCUGAUGCAGCAACGCCGCGUGAGGGAUGACGGCCUUCGGGUUGUAAACCUCUUUUAGCAGGGAAGAAGCGAAAGUGACGGUACCUGCAGAAAAAGCGCCGGCUAACUACGUGCCAGCAGCCGCGGUAAUACGUAGGGCGCAAGCGUUAUCCGGAAUUAUUGGGCGUAAAGAGCUCGUAGGCGGUUUGUCGCGUCUGCUGUGAAAUCCCGAGGCUCAACCUCGGGCCUGCAGUGGGUACGGGCAGACUAGAGUGCGGUAGGGGAGAUUGGAAUUCCUGGUGUAGCGGUGGAAUGCGCAGAUAUCAGGAGGAACACCGAUGGCGAAGGCAGAUCUCUGGGCCGUAACUGACGCUGAGGAGCGAAAGGGUGGGGAGCAAACAGGCUUAGAUACCCUGGUAGUCCACCCCGUAAACGUUGGGAACUAGUUGUGGGGUCCAUUCCACGGAUUCCGUGACGCAGCUAACGCAUUAAGUUCCCCGCCUGGGGAGUACGGCCGCAAGGCUAAAACUCAAAGGAAUUGACGGGGACCCGCACAAGCGGCGGAGCAUGCGGAUUAAUUCGAUGCAACGCGAAGAACCUUACCAAGGCUUGACAUAUACGAGAACGGGCCAGAAAUGGUCAACUCUUUGGACACUCGUAAACAGGUGGUGCAUGGUUGUCGUCAGCUCGUGUCGUGAGAUGUUGGGUUAAGUCCCGCAACGAGCGCAACCCUCGUUCUAUGUUGCCAGCACGUAAUGGUGGGAACUCAUGGGAUACUGCCGGGGUCAACUCGGAGGAAGGUGGGGAUGACGUCAAAUCAUCAUGCCCCUUAUGUCUUGGGCUACACGCAUGCUACAAUGGCCGGUACAAAGGGCUGCAAUACCGCGAGGUGGAGCGAAUCCCAAAAAGCCGGUCCCAGUUCGGAUUGAGGUCUGCAACUCGACCUCAUGAAGUCGGAGUCGCUAGUAAUCGCAGAUCAGCAACGCUGCGGUGAAUACGUUCCCGGGUCUUGUACACACCGCCCGUCAAGUCAUGAAAGUCGGUAACACCUGAAGCCGGUGGCCUAACCCUUGUGGAGGGAGCCGUCGAAGGUGGGAUCGGUAAUUAGGACU
This 1445-nucleotide ribosomal RNA is filed under the name Microbacterium sp. Its description in RNAcentral is "bacterial SSU rRNA". It matches the Rfam family "Bacterial small subunit ribosomal RNA". The record is from RNAcentral. Lineage: Bacteria; Bacillati; Actinomycetota; Actinomycetes; Micrococcales; Microbacteriaceae.